Molecule: non-coding RNA, 115 nt
Organism: Triticum urartu
Lineage: Eukaryota; Viridiplantae; Streptophyta; Magnoliopsida; Poales; Poaceae
Source: Rfam
UUAGUACUUUCUCCGUUCAAAAUUACUUGUCGCAGAAAUGGACAUAUCAAGACGUAUUUUAGUUCUAGAUAUAUCUAUAUCCAAGACAAGUAAUUUCGAACGGAGAAAGUAGUUU